RNAcentral lists this ribosomal RNA (254 nucleotides) under uncultured bacterium. RNAcentral describes it as "partial 16S ribosomal RNA". It matches the Rfam family "Bacterial small subunit ribosomal RNA", at positions 524 to 776 of the family's 1533-position model. The record is from RNAcentral.
UACGUAGGGGGCGAGCGUUGUCCGGAAUUAUUGGGCGUAAAGGGCUCGUAGGCGGCUUGGCAAGUCGGCCGUGAAAACCCGGGGCUCAACCCCGGGACGCCGGUCGAUACUGCCAUGGCUUGGGUCCGGUAGAGGAGAAUGGAAUUCCCGGUGUAGCGGUGAAAUGCGCAGAUAUCGGGAGGAACACCAGUAGCGAAGGCGGUUCUCUGGGCCGGUACCGACGCUGAGGAGCGAAAGCGUGGGGAGCAAACAGG